AUUGAACGCUGGCGGCAUGCCUUACACAUGCAAGUCGAACGGCAGCACGGGAGCAAUCCUGGUGGCGAGUGGCGAACGGGUGAGUAAUGUAUCGGAACGUGCCCAGUCGUGGGGGAUAACGUAGCGGAAGCUACGCUAAUACCGCAUACGAUCUAUGGAUGAAAGCGGGGGACCGUAAGGCCUCGCGCGAUUGGAGCGGCCGAUAUCAGAUUAGGUAGUUGGUGGGGUAAAGGCCUACCAAGCCGACGAUCUGUAGCUGGUCUGAGAGGACGACCAGCCACACUGGGAAUGAGACACGGCCCAGCCUGCAAGGGGAGGCAGCAGUGGGGAAUUUUGAACAAUGGGCGCAAGCCUGAUCCAGCAAUGCCGCGUGCAGGAUGAAGGCCUUCAGGUUGUAAACUGCUUUUGUACGGAGCGAAAAGGCUCUCUCUAAUACAGGGGGCUCAUGACGGUACCGUAAGAAUAAGCACCGGCUAACUACGUGCCAGCCGCCGCAGUAA
This 500-nucleotide ribosomal RNA is filed under the name uncultured bacterium. Its description in RNAcentral is "partial 16S ribosomal RNA". It matches the Rfam family "Bacterial small subunit ribosomal RNA", at positions 30 to 523 of the family's 1533-position model. The record is from RNAcentral.